CCCUUAGAUGUCCUGGGCUGCACGCGCGCUACACUGGAAGUUACGGAUUGAGAUACUACCUUGUCCGAAAUGGUCCGGGUAAUCAUCUAAAAGCUUGUCAUAAUUGGAAUGGAUUAUUGUAACUAGUAAUCCUGAACGAGGAAUUCCUAGUAAGUCCCAGUCAACAGCUGGUACUGAUUACGUCCCUGCCCUUUGUACACACCGCCCGUCGCUACUACUGAUUGGACGUUUAAGCAAGAUUUUUAAACACUGACAGUGUGUAGUUCACGCUAUACUACAGUGAGAAGAAGAAGAUCGAGCUUACUUGUCUGGAGGAAGUAAAAGUCGUAACA
Molecule: ribosomal RNA, 332 nt
Filed under: uncultured eukaryote
Lineage: Eukaryota
Description: partial 18S ribosomal RNA
Rfam family: Eukaryotic small subunit ribosomal RNA
Source: RNAcentral